RNAcentral lists this ribosomal RNA (464 nucleotides) under Vreelandella stevensii. Its description in RNAcentral is "partial 16S ribosomal RNA". It matches the Rfam family "Bacterial small subunit ribosomal RNA", at positions 338 to 795 of the family's 1533-position model. Lineage: Bacteria; Pseudomonadati; Pseudomonadota; Gammaproteobacteria; Oceanospirillales; Halomonadaceae. The record is from RNAcentral.
CCUACGGGUGGCAGCAGUGGGGAAUAUUGGACAAUGGGGGGAACCCUGAUCCAGCCAUGCCGCGUGUGUGAAGAAGGCCCUCGGGUUGUAAAGCACUUUCAGUGAGGAAGAACGCCUGGUGGUUAAUACCCAUCAGGAAAGACAUCACUCACAGAAGAAGCACCGGCUAACUCCGUGCCAGCAGCCGCGGUAAUACGGAGGGUGCGAGCGUUAAUCGGAAUUACUGGGCGUAAAGCGCGCGUAGGUGGCUUGAUAAGCCGGUUGUGAAAGCCCGGGCUCAACCUGGGAACGGCAUCCGGAACUGUCAAGCUAGAGUGCAGGAGAGGAAGGUAGAAUUCCCGGUGUAGCGGUGAAAUGCGUAGAGAUCGGGAGGAAUACCAGUGGCGAAGGCGGCCUUCUGGACUGACACUGACACUGAGGUGCGAAAGCGUGGGUAGCAAACAGGAUUAGAUACCCCAGUAGUC